UUUUACGACUUUUGUAAAGUUCAUCACACGUUGAAUCGCCCGCCUAACUACUCCACCCCGCACCCGUGCCCACGCCACGCCCCUCUCAGUCUUCGUUAUUGAAAAAAACUUGCUCAACAAAUAACUAAGCGGCGAUCUUUUUAUGUGAUACGAAAACAAGCGGCAACAUUUUUAGUCACAAAUUUGUGUUUGAAAGUUUUGGUUUUUGUUUUUUUGGUGUACAAAUUUGUUGUUAACAUUGUGUUAACAGCAACAUUUUAUAUCUACUCUCGAGAGACUCGCAACAGCUUUUUGGGCACAAGUAUCAAAUCGAUGACUAUAUCUGUUCAUUCGAAGGACUUGGUGAUUUAACAAUGGACUCCUUAGCGAUGUUCAUAUUCCUCUGGGCCGUUCUGGCCCUCUUCUCCGUUUGGCUGUGCAAGCUGCUCUACAACAAGUAUCUCAUCAACAAGGGCGCCACAACCACAGCCAGUAGCAGCAACAGUCGCCAGACUAUUGUUGCACCCGGCGGUGGCGCCUCCUCGGCGAUCAGUGCCGCCAAGUCAGAGAAACGUUCUUCCGAGCCACGCGAACUGAUGGCCACCAAGAGCAAAAUCGAUGAUCUGUCCAAGCCACUAACAGGUAGUAGUUCAGCGGGACGCGGACGUUCCACAGCAUCGCCCAUGGGUGGAGGAGGAGGUGGUGCUGCUGCUGGCGGACCACGUCGUCGAGUGGUCCGUCAGAGUUCGACUGGACCGGAGAAUCGCAAGAAACGCUACGUACCACCACCCUCAAAUGUGGUCGGGCCAGAAACGAGCUCCGUUACGUGGACGAGUCAAGUGUUUCGCUGGCUGUACAGCGAUCUGGUUAUUGUCAACGAGCUACUCAUGUCCUGGGUGAUAGCCAUUAACGAUACCCUGCGCAUAUCCGCCGAGGAGCAUGGUGUGGCUGUGGAAGUGGUCCGAGUUCUGCCCGACAGCCCGGCACCGGGCCUCAACAACAUCUUCUGCAACUGCGAGGAGCACAAUCCCGCCGAAAUGCUUAUCACGUUUGAUUGUGACGCAAUGCCCGUGCUUCAGGUGAAGACGUUUCGCCAGAAGUGGGGCAAGGUGGAGACCUCGCAUUAUAAGGUCACCGUUUCGCGAUUCCGUGCACGCAUGUCCAUACCCAUCAACUACAAUACGCUCAAGGGUGAGAUGCGUGUCGAUGGCUAUCCGGACGUGCGCAUUGCCAUGAACAGCGUGGGCGCUAUCAAGGCAAUGGAUCAGGAUGAGCAGCAGCUGCAGACAGUCAUCAGUGAUAUACUGACGACGGCACUCCGUGAAACCACCUAUCCGGUGGAUUUCUCCAUUUACUCUACCUGCCCCCGUGCAGAGGUGGAGCCACUGGAUUUGCCUGUAAUAUAUCCCGUCCAUUAUGAAUCGCUGGCGUACAACAUGGAUCACAGCCUGGGGUCGGGAAUUCUGCGUGAUGCCCAACACAUGGUCUCCGGUCGUCGGCUGCUGGUGAAGAUCGUCAAGGGCGAUGGAUUGCGCGAUGCUCACGACCCGUAUGUGGUCAUCGAGAUGGAUGAGCCGGCGCAGAAGAAUCAAACGGGCACCCAACGCGGUAGCAAACCCUACUGGGACGAGCACUUCCUCUUCGAACUCUCCCCACAAUCUGCUGAGAUACUCUUUGAGGUCUACGACCGUUCAGUGAUUGCAUCCGAUCCGCCCAAGUUCCUUGGCCUCGGCCUCGUCGGCAUCGAUGAGCUCGCCGUGGGUCCCGCCUCUACGCAGCUGUUGCAGUUGCAACCGCGUCCUUACGAGACCCAUCCGGUUGCGGGCGCCAUUACCGUUGAUUUUGUGUUCAUCGAGGGUGCCGAGAUACCGGCCGGUUCUCGGCCGAAUCGCCUGAAGGAGGCGCUGCGUCUCAGCACACCCGCCAUCAAUGAGCACAUACGCAACGGUGCCGACCUGGCCGAUGCGGCUGUGCGUGCCCUUCAGGACGGGGCACUCUCGGGUGGCGCUUCCAACGGUGGACAGACACAGAAGAGCACCCUCAUCAUCCACAGUGUGCAGCGGAACUCGAGCAAUCCAAAUGCAUUCAAGGUUGAGUUGAACAAAGAUGGUCACAUCGAAGUCAUCGAAUCUCCCACAGAGCUCGAUCAGGCCGUUGCCCAGGCUUUCGAGCGUGCCGCCAACGAGGCAGCCAGCGCCCAAAUCGAGCCACGGGCCGCCAGCCCGGCCGACAGCCCGACGGGUGGCACAACAACAGGUAACGAGGAGAGCACAGCCGAGUUUGGACAGCCGAAUGCUGCCUCCUCGCCGAAUGGCAGUGGCUACCACAACGACUACAGUUUGAAUGGCAGCAUUCAACUUACCGGCCACAACUCAAACAGUUUACAACGGAAUGGCGCCAUGCAACAGCAGCAACAACAGCAGCUGUUGCAGCAAUCUGGCCUGGAGCUGGAUGAUCGUGGUCGCAGUAAAAAACGUAAUUUCUUUGGCACUCUCAAGAAGCGGCUCAGCCGUUCCAAGACACGAACCCUAUCGGCAGAUCAGCCCAAUAACAACCAUAAAUCACAAUCAGUCACCAAUCCAACAACAACAACAGGCACAGGACUCACAAGAACAGCCCAAGGAACCCUCAAUGGUGAAUCUUCCCGUUCAUUAUCUGUCGAUCGUGCAACUCUGUCUAAAAGCAAUUCACUUGGACCCCGUAUGGGCAUCGGCUCGUCCAUCACCGAUCACCACUCACGACGCUCUUCAAUUUCAGAAUCCUCAGCCAUCUCAGGCUUCUCCUCGGCCAGCAACAAAACCUAUGUCCAUGAGGCAUCCACACUGGUGCUGGAGACCAUCGAGAAUGGCGUUAAGCGGCAUUUUAUUGUGCCGCUGGCGAUUGCACAGAGGCCACGCUGGCGCCGCAAGGGCACUAAGUUGCACAUUUACAAUGAUCACACGUUUAUCGCCAAGCAUUUGAGCGGCAGCGGAUUGCAAUGCUCGAUCUGCAUGAAGUCCAUACCACGGAGGCCGGGCAAACAGGGCUAUGAGUGCCGCGACUGCCAGCUGAUCUGCCACAAGCAAUGCCACAUUAGGGCGCCGCAGUCAUGCCCCAAUCCCACUGUACUCUCCAUGGAACUAACAUCAUUUCCGGUACUCUCAGAGCGAAAUUUGAACAUAGUUAACUGAAGCAAAAAAAAAAAAAAAUUUAUAAAUAUAUAUAUUUACAACUAAAUAUUGAAUACAAUACAAUAUUCUUGAAUACUAUUCUACUCUGCUGUUAAAUACUGUUUACUACAUGCAAUUAUUUCUGUGCUACGUUCCUUGCCUCCUUUUCUUUUUGUUAUUGUAACAUUUUGCAAAAAUUGGCGUCAGAAUUACAAAAAUUGUUUGGCAUUCAUUUUCGAUAUUAAUUUCGGUCUUUGGUAUUUGAAAUGCUUUUUGCCAACUACAAAUAUCUGCCUAUAUUAACACACACCCACACACACACACAAAUAUAAACAUAAAAACCUACAUGAUUUUUAACAUUUAUUGAUGUUUUUCUAUUUCACACAACUCAUACAAAAAUCAAACUUUAACCGGUUUGCCAUUCUCAAAACCCGCAAAAAUAUGUAUUCAAAACAUGGACACAGGAUGCCUAGUGAUCAGUAAAAAAAAAUUUUAAGCAAGUUGAGCAAAGGUAACAACAAAAGUUUAAGUGAAUUUAGUUUAAGCCAAGAUGUAAUUUUGACGCCAAGUACAAAGUGUGCAAAGAAAACAAGAAUAUUCAGAAAAUAGAUUUUUAGGUUGAAAUUCUGAUGAAAGCUUAAUUUGACUUGAAUAUUGUUUGUCGAAUAUAGGAAAAUGGAACGAAACUUAACUCAGUUGUGGCGGAUCGUAGCAUUAGGAAAUUGUAAAAAUCUACAAUCUACAUUAAUUAAUACGAAUCGAAAUAAUUAUUUUACAUAAUUUGCAUUAUUAACACUAAAAAUCGACAAGAAAUGAAGUCGGCAAGAAAAUGAAAAUCGUAAACUCACAAAAACCGAAAUCUGUCUAUGCUAUCUAUAAUUAUGUUAUUUAUUUUAUACUCAAGUGCAAUAUUUUGUUUUUUUUUAAAUGAAAUUGUAAUGGAUCAACAAACAAAAAGAAAUCUUUUCUACCAUCACGAAUAAUGUACAAAAGAUAACAAACAUUUUUAAAUAAAACUUACUGGUGAAGUAA
RNA transcript from Drosophila grimshawi, 4160 nucleotides. RefSeq lists it as uncharacterized. The record is from RefSeq and is a predicted model, not a curated record. Lineage: Eukaryota; Metazoa; Arthropoda; Insecta; Diptera; Drosophilidae. The transcript is spliced from 16 exons.